GACGAACGCUGGCGGCGUGCCUAAUACAUGCAAGUAGAACGCUGAAGGAGGAGCUUGCUUCUCUGGAUGAGUUGCGAACGGGUGAGUAACGCGUAGGUAACCUGCCUGGUAGCGGGGGAUAACUAUUGGAAACGAUAGCUAAUACCGCAUAAUAGCAGUUGUUGCAUGACAACUGUUUGAAAGGUGCAAUUGCACCACUACCAGAUGGACCUGCGUUGUAUUAGCUAGUUGGUGGGGUAACGGCUCACCAAGGCGACGAUACAUAGCCGACCUGCGAGGGGGGUCGGCCACACUGGGACUGUGACACGGCCCAGACUCCUACGGGAGGCAGCAGUAGUGAAUCUUCGGCCAUGGACGGAAGUCUGACCGAGCAACGCCGCGUGAGUGAAGAAGGUUUUCGGAUCGUAAAGCUCUGUUGUAAGAGAAGAACGAGUGUGAGAGUGGAAAGUUCACACUGUGACGGUAUCUGACCAGAAAGGGACGGCUAACUACGUG
Molecule: ribosomal RNA, 495 nt
Filed under: uncultured bacterium
Lineage: Bacteria
Description: partial 16S ribosomal RNA
Rfam family: Bacterial small subunit ribosomal RNA
Source: RNAcentral